This 253-nucleotide ribosomal RNA is filed under the name uncultured bacterium. RNAcentral's name for it is "partial 16S ribosomal RNA". It matches the Rfam family "Bacterial small subunit ribosomal RNA", at positions 524 to 776 of the family's 1533-position model. The record is from RNAcentral.
GACGAACCGUGCGAACGUUGUUCGGAUUCACUGGGCUUAAAGGGCGCGUAGGCGGACCUGCAAGUCGGGGGUGAAAGCCCGAGGCUCAACCUCGGAACUGCCUUCGAUACUGCGGGUCUCGAGUCCGGGAGAGGUGAGUGGAAUUCCUAGUGUAGAGGUGAAAUUCGUAGAUAUUAGGAAGAACACCAGUGGCGAAGGCGGCUCACUGGCCCGGUACUGACGCUGAGGCGCGAAAGCGUGGGGAGCAAACAGG